CUCAGCCCCGCGCUGAUCAUAGGCCAGGUGGCGCUGUGGCGCGCGGCGGGGCUGUGUGCGCUGAGGCUGCUGAGUGGCGGGCCGAAUCAGGAUGUUGACCGUGGCCACAUCCACGUCCCAGAGCUUCUUCACAGUCUGUUUGAUCUGGUGCUUGUUGGCUUUAACAUCGACAGUGAAUACAAGCGUGCUGUUGUCUUCUAUCUUCUUCACGGCUGACUCAGUGGUCAGUGGAAACUUGAUGAUAGCAUGGUGGUCAAGCUUGUUUCUCCGGGGGGUGCUCAUCCCAGGAUAUCUGGACUGGAGUCGCAGUGUCUUGGGACGCUGGAAGAUAUUAUUUCCCACUGAUGCUUUUCUGAAAGCUCCUGCAAUCAGCUACAGGUCAGAAUGCUUGUCUCCAACACAGGACUCCCUCUGAGAGUCACCUGUCUGCUCACCGAGAGAAAUGCGUAUCUGAGUGCCGCAUCGGGAGAGGGUAACCAGCAACUCAAAAGAAUGAAACCAUUUGUCUCUUACCUACCUAUGACCUGGAAGCUCCCUGUCUGGCCUUCUCUUCAAGUUGUCUCACCUUUCUGGAGUGAACCAAGGUACAUCUUUCACACAUUGAUUGAUGUCUCAUGUCUCCCUAAAGUGUGUAAAACCAAGCUGGGCCCCGACCACCUUGGGCCCGUGUUGUCGGGACCUCCUGAGGAGGCAUCAUGGGCGCAUCCUCAAACUUGGCAAAAUAAACUUUCUAAAAAAUCUGAGACCUGUCUCAGAUUUUCAGGGUUCACACAUGUAAUGUAGGAUGUCAAUGUUUAUAAAACAGACAUUAUUCUAUCUACUAUUAAAAAUAUGCUGCCAAUUAACCUUUGACUUUCUCAACAAAAUAAAAAAUGUUGAUGAGGUACAAAUAAUAUAUUUAAACUUAAAUAAUGUUGCAAGUUUUAAUAUGCCUACUUUUCAAUUUUUCAAUACUAUUUUUACUAAUUUAACACUGUAAGAAAAAUGAGUAAUGAAAACAUGAAUAAAAGCAUUUACAGGGGGUGCACAUGUUUCCUCCAGCCUCUGCCCAUCUCCAGCUUUCAUCCCAACUGUCCUGACAGUGGCUCUAAGCAUUUCUCCUUUCUCUGUACCAAGAUCUCCCCGCUGAAGCAAACCCAAAUCUUAUCAUGUGUUAUGACACGCUGUGAUGAUGAGCAACCAAAGCCUCGAGGAAGGGAUGCUUUUGUAAAACCAGACUUGCAGGAUAUAACGUGUGAAGUAAAGCCCAUGGCGGAGCUCCCUUUAGCACCCGGAGAGCAGACAGGAAGCUUUAGCCUCACCUUCCUCACUGGCCCGCAGCCACGUCCCCCCAGGUCAGUCUUGAGGACAACGAAACUCUGGUCUUCACUGUGGACACACUACCAGGUGCUCCAAGCCAUGGCCUCUUCUCGGGUGGUCCUGAGGAGAACAAAGCUCUGGUUCUAAUCCUAACCACAAUCCUGUACCAGGUGCUCCAAAGCCAUGGCCUCUUCUCGGGUGGGUCCUGAGGAGAACAAAGCUCUGGUUCUAAUCCUAACCGCAAUCCUGUCUCUAGACUUGGACCCUGACCCUAACCCCGAUCCCUACCCUGGUCCCUAAUUCUGACCCUGACUUUGACCUUGACUCUGAUCUUGACCCUGACCAUGACCCCACCUCUAACCAUACUUCCGGCCCUGUAUGUCUGACCCAGACCCUAAUCCUAACGCUAACCCUACUAUUAUCUUUACAAUCUAUCUCUACUCUUACCCCCUACUGCUAAAUAGCUGUACCCAAAAGCCCUUUUUAAAUUAUUUAACUUCUUUUCCUUGAAUUCUCUAAGGACAUCCUAAAGGAGAUGUCAUUAUGUAUUUUGCAGUCCCUCUGAGUGGUAUGGCUUCAGAUAGGAAGUUCUAAUACUUUGCAAGACAUAAAAACUCUGGAGAGUAACAGCACGGGGUUGUUAGGGAUGCAUGUUGGCAUUCACGAUAGUCAUUGGUGCUGUUCUCCAAAUAUUUUCAGUUCAGUUUUUAUGAAUGCAUUCUGACUAUACCAACCCACCUGCUUAAAUUUUUGCAUGACCAUAUAGCUUU
Molecule: long non-coding RNA, 2069 nt
Organism: Piliocolobus tephrosceles (Ugandan red Colobus)
Lineage: Eukaryota; Metazoa; Chordata; Mammalia; Primates; Cercopithecidae
Exons: 3
Source: RefSeq, a predicted model, not a curated record